This is a long non-coding RNA of Clarias gariepinus (North African catfish), 677 nucleotides long. RefSeq lists it as uncharacterized. The record is from RefSeq and is a predicted model, not a curated record. Lineage: Eukaryota; Metazoa; Chordata; Actinopteri; Siluriformes; Clariidae. The transcript is spliced from 2 exons.
AAACAACUCUUUGGAGCGUUAUGUUCACCUCGUGUGUAAAAAGUUUUAACGGGUUGUUUUUUUCUACCCAAACGCUGGGUUGCCGCUCUUGGGUAAUUUUUCUGGGCUUCGUGUCUCUCUUCAGCUCCCACACCGCUGAUGACGGUUCAUCCUCCUCGGGCAUUUAAGGGAAAAUGGCGUUAAAUACAAGGUUGGAACCAACAUGGUGAAAUACCUCCAGCAGGCUGAAGGGUCAAGGCCGUACCCCUACAUCCUGACGUUGGGAGAAAAUGACCAGCGCUGCUCUUAGGCAUUCGUCAUUCUGGUGGGACAGGCUCUGGAGCAAUGCACACUACUUGGGGCGGUUGAUGUGUGCUUAAAGGCAUUUUAUAUUUUUGACAUUAACUAUCCAAAGCAGUGUGCUCCUGUAUAGGACUUUUUGUAAUGUUGCUAUGAAAUAGCGAGGCCUACUUGAAAAGUCAUAGACAGUGUUUGUAUGUUAAAAUGAGACCAGGGCUGGAUAGUUUUGUUCUGCAAAAAAGAUAUUUGGAGUCACAGAGAUCCUGCUCUGUAGAAGCUGCCUCAGCCUAUUUGUGCAAUUACUCCAUUCUGCCCUUGUGAGUAAUAGUAUGGUAAUGAUGUUGCUGUUGAUUAUCUGUUCUUGUGCUUUUGAAAAAUAAAUAUUUUUUCUAGGAACA